Molecule: non-coding RNA, 82 nt
Organism: Potamilus streckersoni
Lineage: Eukaryota; Metazoa; Mollusca; Bivalvia; Unionida; Unionidae
Source: the annotation of a GenBank genome assembly
UCUCUGGUGGCCUAGUGGUUAGAACAUCCACCUCAGAUGUGAAAGGUUGUGGGUUCGAUCCCCGGUCGAGUCAUACCAAAGA